RNAcentral lists this small RNA (857 nucleotides) under Histoplasma ohiense. Its description in RNAcentral is "hypothetical lncRNA". The record is from RNAcentral. Lineage: Eukaryota; Fungi; Ascomycota; Eurotiomycetes; Onygenales; Ajellomycetaceae.
AUUCCCGGAUCCGGGAUCCUGGUUGAUAGAGCAGCACUUCCACUGCCUGCUUCCCACUAUAUGCAAGUACAGCACAUACAAGCCGUAGAUUCAGCGGGCCAGAGACGACCCUUCUUUCUGCCUCAUGGGAAUCUCUACGUCUCACUGGACAAGGCGUGAAUAUAUUCCAUUCCCUUCAAUGUUCUGGAAGCAAAUGGCUUAGGGUGUCGAUUGUGAAAGAGUUCCGAGACACCAUCCUUCAGCGGGUGAUAGGGGUUCCCGGGUGUGUCAGUAAGUUCGCAUUUUGUCAAAGUUGAUUUUCCAUUUCUACCCAAAUUGAAAACAAAAACUCGAAUUAAAAACAGUGACCGUGAGGAGUCUAUUUGCAUAUCGUGAAGAAUAAGUGGGCAUCGUUUUUCCUCCCUCAACCACAAAGGCUGGCAAGAUCGCAUGUGGAGCACAGAUAAGCAAAAUCCUGGCAGAAAACAAGAGUGGAAAGCGAAGAAAGAUGCCGAAUAGCAUUUAACCAAGGACAUGGGGCACCUGCUAGAAAAUUAAGAAGAAGAAGAAGAAGAAGAAGAAGAAGAAGAAGAAGCAGAACAUCGAGCAUGCAUCAUUGCCAAACAGUGUAAUGCUAAACAACAAUCAGGAAAACAAACAAAAAAGUCCAACUACCAAGAGCACGGAAAUGAAGCCACCCUCGGAAAUUUUUGAACAGAUGUUGCAUGUGCGGGUAUGCUGGAAAGCAAAGAAAGGCUCAACAGGAGAAGAUGGAAUGGAAACUGGAUGACAUGUGUUGAAAAUUGAAAAUUCAAAAUUGAAUAACACGUUCGCCCUCCUUGUAAAUGCAGUUGGACUUUAGUCAAAAUUCGUGAACA